CGAAUAUAUGUGGUUUAAAUUGCGUAUGUACAUACAUACAUAUGUACAAAUUUGAUUUUGGGUCAAUAAUGUGUGGUUGUUGCAAAAGCUAAUACUGAUUUCUUUUGAAAACUGAUAAACAUUUUUCGUAGAACAUAAUACAUUUAUACUUACAUAUGUUUGUUGUUUAAUAAAUGGUUCUAAUUAAACAUAUAUGUACAUACAUAUGUAUGUUAUGAUUAGCUGUUCGACUCUGACUCACAUUAAACAAAAAUAAAAACAAAUUGUAGAAAUUCCCAGAAACUGAUUAUAUUACUCGCGAACAUAUUCAUAUGUAUAAGUGCGAGUAUAUAAUUGCGGGGUUUUGCCACACAAAUUACGGAACAUAUUGAUAUCAUUCACUAUAUCAGUGAUCUUUGUAAAAUCAGAUCAAAAUACUUCCCUUAACGACCUGUGUAUUUAAAUUUAAAAAAACCGGCGAUAUCGGUUCCUCGUUACCAGAUAGUGAAAUUAUGAGUACAUUCUCACUGGUCGAGUACAAGGAUAUAAUUAAUGAAAUUAGAAGUUUUAAUACAUACUACAUAUGUUUCGAAAACUUGUAUAUUUUUAAUGUAGUUAACACUGCUAUACCCGCCCAAUUUUCGUAACACUCAUUAUGCGGACGGUCCACAGACCAUAUAAUUGAAACCCAGGCAUUUAUUUUUUUAGUAUGAAACCUAUAAAAUUAUUUUUCUUAAAAUUAAAUUUCAUUCGCUUUUUUCGUCAAACCUGAGAUGAACAUCAACAUAAAAAAAAUCUGUUCCAACUCAUAGUCAAUCGAAAUAUCUCCGGAGACUUUAUUCGACUAUUUUCUUCAAACGCCAGAAAGCAAAUAUCGCAAAGUGUCUUAUUUUUUUAUUAUCUGCCUCAGAACAGUCGCUAUCUCUUGAGAAUUAGAUCUUUUAAAUUCCAAUUGUAUUGCAAAACUGUUAAACUUUUGCAUUAAGCGCUAGUAGCCAACAUGUUUAUUGUUGUUCGGGCAAUGAGCAGCUUCUUGGGGAGAGAAGAACGUAUGCAAAAUUUCAGAUCGAUAUCUCACACACUGAGACAAAUAGAAGGAUAAAAGGAUAAAUCGUCAUGCUGAUCUUUAUGUAUAUUUAUAGGUCUCGCGUUCUUCUGGUGUUCAAACUUGUGGCAAAUGCCUUCAGUUAUGGACAAUCAUCGGAUUUGGGGAACAUUUAUUUAAUUUAUAUUAAUUUUGCGAUAGUUACCACUUAUGUACCAGUGAGGAUCUCUAUUAAUGGAAUCGACUUUAUAAGAACUAUCGCUCACCCUGGUAAAAACCUCAACUUACUACGUUUUUUAAAAUAAAAUUUUUCCAUUUCAUAACGGAUAUUAAAAAUUCUAAUACUCGAUGUGAAGGCAAAGCGAAAAAAGUACAAGUGUUUUAGUUUUAUUUAGUGAGGUUAGGUGCAUUGUUAGCAUGCAAUUGCAGUCUUGUGGAAAAUCUGCAAGAUGAGUUCUUUAAAGAUUUUGCUUUAUUGUUUUUUUUUUUACAACGAUGCCACAGUUUGCAAAUUUCACUUGCUGUGGAGAAGCAGAAGCCGCACCAAAAAUAGUAGACUAUCGAUUAGCAGAUAAACAAGCACAGAACCGUUAGUUUUUUCCAUCAAAAAUAUUUAAAUAACUAAGUAAAUACAUUACUCAACGCAGUAGAAGAUCUUUUCAAAGGUCAGAAUUGUAUUCUGAUUGGACCAGCCGGCAGUGAGUCAAAAAUGCCGCGUCACUACAUCACUACAUUUAUCUCAGUUUUUCGUUGUGGUUUUUAGAAAGGUUUUGCGUCAAAAGACGCCAUUAGUCAUACGAAGGUUGCUAUUUGAUAUUUUUGGCUGUGGAAGAGUACACAAUAGUGCUCCAAAAGGAUCUGCAUGAGUAUAAAUUGUAUAGAUGCUUAUCACGCGAAAAUUGAAGAUCUCUUAACCUCACUGCAAUUCACAAUAUUUUCCUUUUCGAUAAUUCUCAUCGAUCCCAAUUUUACCAGCUAAUUUUGGUCGAUCCUUGCGGACAUAUGGCCGUUAUAAAAGACAACUUCAUCAUAUCGAUUUUUUCCAAAGGAAACGUCUACAGGUGUUUGGCAAUACUAAGGGUGCCCAAGGUCAGAUACUUAAUCAGCAGCCUACGUUCGUCCAUAUCAAUUAGGUUCGGUUAAAUGGUUGGUUAUAAAGAGAGGUCGCUAAGUACAUAUUUGACCACAAACGUUAGGCAAAACUGCACUAUACUUCUGAUAUGCACUAUAUAUAUGCAUACACAUAUGUACGUUUAAUACAUAUGUAUAUGCGUCAUAAUAUUAGUAACGCCGAUUUCUUCAGAAAAUAAAUUAUUUGCGGUAUAUAUAAAUGGGCAAUGCUUUUUGAUGACAGAACUUACUUCAACCAAGACAUCCCACAUUAACGCAACAGAAUUAGAAAAUUAUAAAAUUUCAAACAGCAACAUGAAUUUUCGCUUAAUAUUUGUUCUUAAUCUGUUGCAAAUUUGUAUGAGCCAAAAUCCUUAUAGUUGGUUUAACAAUUAUGACUACCCAAGAGCAAGUGAGGAGUCAAUGCAAUAUGUGCCUGAAUCAGUAAAUACUUGGAAUGAAGCCAGAAACGAAGGUAAUGAAAUUUACCAUAAAGCUUUUCUCCAUGGGAUACCUGUAAGGCGAUAUAACAUGAGAGAAUGUUAAUAAAUGUAAAUGUGAAAACUCAUGUAAAAACUACAAAAAGUACUCAAAGAGAUUUGAUUUAACAUUUACGCCUUCUCUAUUCAUUAACAUUCUCGGAACAACUCUCUACAAUCUGAAUGCUAAGGCUGCAAAAAACAUGUUAAAACUUUAAUAAAUACUAAUAAACAAAAUA
Molecule: long non-coding RNA, 2852 nt
Organism: Bactrocera oleae (olive fruit fly)
Lineage: Eukaryota; Metazoa; Arthropoda; Insecta; Diptera; Tephritidae
Source: RefSeq, a predicted model, not a curated record